GAAGUGCGAUAAGCAAUGCGAAUUGCAGAACCGUGAGUCAUCAGAUUUUUGAACGCAACCGGCGUCGGCUGGCUCUCCAGCCGGCAUGCUUGUUUCAGUGUCUCUUUAACUCCUCACCCAAAACUUAAUGCGAGAGAUGCCCUUCUCUUGCUAAGCGAGGAGGCGCUUAUGCGCUCUGCUAGUGGCUUCGCCUUUGUGUGAAGGCCGCACUCAAUGCAGCAGUCACAUUUUCUUAAUGUGAACUCAUUGAGGGCAGAGGCGUCGUAGCUUUUAGCUGCCCAGCGCCUGGUCAAACUGACCUUUCUUUGUAUCUGAAAUCAAGCAGGAUCACCCGCUGAACUUAAGC
This 346-nucleotide unclassified non-coding RNA is filed under the name plant metagenome. RNAcentral describes it as "partial contains 5.8S ribosomal RNA, internal transcribed spacer 2, and large subunit ribosomal RNA". The stretch from base 1 to 103 matches the Rfam family "5.8S ribosomal RNA", at positions 50 to 154 of the family's 154-position model. The record is from RNAcentral.